GGGGGAUAACGUAGCGAAAGUUACGCUAAUACCGCAUAUUCUGUGAGCAGGAAAGCAGGGGAUCGCAAGACCUUGCGCUGAUUGAGCGGCCGAUAUCAGAUUAGCUAGUUGGUGGGGUAAAGGCCUACCAAGGCGACGAUCUGUAGCGGGUCUGAGAGGAUGAUCCGCCACACUGGAACUGAGACACGGUCCAGACUCCUACGGGAGGCAGCAGUGGGGAAUUUUGGACAAUGGGGGCAACCCUGAUCCAGCCAUGCCGCGUGAGUGAAGAAGGCCUUCGGGUUGUAAAGCUCUUUCGGCCGGGAAGAAAUCGCACAGGCUAAUACCCUGUGUGGAUGACGGUACCGGAAUAAGAAGCACCGGCUAACUACGUGCCAGCAGCCGCGGUAAUACGUAGGGUGCGAGCGUUAAUCGGAAUUACUGGGCGUAAAGCGUGCGCAGGCGGUUUAGUAAGACAGGCGUGAAAUCCCCGGGCUCAACCUGGGAACUGCGCUUGUGACUGCUAAGCUAGAGUACGGCAGAGGGGGGUGGAAUUCCACGUGUAGCAGUGAAAUGCGUAGAGAUGUGGAGGAACACCGAUGGCGAAGGCAGCCCCCUGGGCCGAUACUGACGCUCAUGCACGAAAGCGUGGGUAGCAAACAGGAUUAGAUACCCUGGUAGUCCACGCCCUAAACGAUGUCAACUAGGUGUUGGGAGGGUAAAACCUUUUAGUACCGGAGCUAACGCGUGAAGUUGACCGCCUGGGGAGUACGGCCGCAAGGUUAAAACUCAAAGGAAUUGACGGGGACCCGCACAAGCGGUGGAUGAUGUGGAUUAAUUCGAUGCAACGCGAAAACCUUACC
This 842-nucleotide ribosomal RNA is filed under the name uncultured Dechloromonas sp. RNAcentral describes it as "bacterial SSU rRNA". It matches the Rfam family "Bacterial small subunit ribosomal RNA", at positions 138 to 975 of the family's 1533-position model. Lineage: Bacteria; Pseudomonadati; Pseudomonadota; Betaproteobacteria; Rhodocyclales; Azonexaceae. The record is from RNAcentral.